RNAcentral lists this ribosomal RNA (492 nucleotides) under uncultured bacterium. Its description in RNAcentral is "partial 16S ribosomal RNA". It matches the Rfam family "Bacterial small subunit ribosomal RNA", at positions 28 to 507 of the family's 1533-position model. The record is from RNAcentral.
GAUGAACGCUAGCUCCAGGCUUAACACAUGCAAGUCGAGGGGAAACGACAUCGAAAGCUUGCUUUUGAUGGGCGUCGACCGGCGCACGGGUGAGUAACGCGUAUCCAACCUGCCCACCACUUGGGGAUAACCUUGCGAAAGUAAGAAUAAUACCCAAUGAUAUCCCUAGAAGACAUCUGAAAGAGAUUAAAGAUUUAUCGGUGAUGGAUGGGGAUGCGUCUGAUUAGCUUGUUGGCGGGGUAACGGCCCACCAAGGCAACGAUCAGUAGGGGUUCUGAGAGGAAGCUACACCACAUUGGAACUGAGACACAGUCCAAACUCCUACGGGAGGCAGCAGUAAGGAAUAUUGGUCGAUGGACGAGAGUCUGAACCAGCCAAGUAGGGUGCAGGAAGACGGCCCUAGGGAUUGUAAGCUGCUUUUAUAAGAGAAUAAAGUGAGUCUCGGGAGACUUUUUGCAUGUACCUAAUGAAUAAGGACCGGCUAAUUCCGUG